AUUGAACGCUGGCGGCAUGCCUUACACAUGCCAGUCGAACGGCAGCACGGGAGCUUGUACCUGGUGGCGAGUGCGGGAGGGGUGAGUAUUAGAUAGGCACCUGACUCUAAGUGGGCGUUGGCGCGGAGAAAGCGGGACUAAUACUGAUACCGCAUACCGCCUAAAGGUGGGGGACCUUGAGCUUCCGACCUUUCGGGUUUGCAGAUGGCGAUGUCGGAUUAGCUAGUUGGCGGGGUAAAGGCCUACCAAGGCGACGAUCAGUAGCUGGUCUGAGAGGAGGACCAGCCACACUGGAACUGAGACACGGCCCAGACUCCUACGGGAGGCAGCAGUGGGGAAUAUUGGACAAUGGGCGAAAGCCUGAUCCAGCAAUACCGCGUGUGUGAAGAAGGCCUUCGGGUUGUAAAGCACUUUUGUCCGGAAAGAAAAGCUUGGCCCUAAUACGGUCGGGGGAUGACGGUACCGAAAGAAUAAGCACCGGCUAACUACGUG
RNAcentral lists this ribosomal RNA (492 nucleotides) under uncultured bacterium. Its description in RNAcentral is "partial 16S ribosomal RNA". It matches the Rfam family "Bacterial small subunit ribosomal RNA", at positions 30 to 507 of the family's 1533-position model. The record is from RNAcentral.